GCCCACCCUGGAAUCCAACUCAGGGUGUCUAGAGUGGCACCCAGGAACUAGUGUUUCCAGAAAAUUUCGUAAAGGAGGUUCUGAAAAGUAUCCUACCCACACCGAUAGUUAAGAAUCACUGAGGUACACAGGACUGAGUCCCGGAAUUGGCGAUGAUGUGGGGGAAGAUGGAUUAGAAUGGUUUGCAGAAACGGGUGGGCGUCAAGUGACUCAGGAAAGGAGGACAAGGAGAGGAGGUGGCUGUGUCUGCAGGCGCUGGAAAGAGCAGGGGCUCGGUUGUCGGUGGAUCUGCCUCUCAAGACCGUUGCUAGGGCCGUGCCCACCCCUCCCCUGUGCCCUUUGUGUCACUUUUCCCCCUUGGUGUUCACUUUAGCCAGUGGCAGCCUACAUCAAUGUGCAGAGGAUCAAAAUACUAGAAGAGAUUCUGAACCAUCAAAGCCGAGCACAAUGAGGAUAAGCAGGCCUUUCUGAAGUUUCAUGGCCAUUCUUGUAGAGGCUGUAUGUUAAACACUUGGUCACCGGCUUAUGAAGCUACUGGAAGAUAAGAAGUGAGACUAGUGGAAGGAAGUUACAUCAUUGGGGACAUGCCCUGUCUUCUCUCAUUGGUUCCUGGUCACCAUGAGAUUGAACCCAGUGUCUCACACAUAUUAGACAAGCGCUCUACCAUGGAGUUAAAACCCAAGCUCCAGUCAGAAUAAUUUUAAUUCAAAUUAAAUAUAUUGAGCUUGUUUUAUGGUGAGUACAAUUGUCUGUAUUGAUAAAUAAUAUGUGGAACUUGAAAAGAAUGUGUUAUUCUGUUGUUUUUGGU
This is a long non-coding RNA of Ictidomys tridecemlineatus (thirteen-lined ground squirrel), 808 nucleotides long. RefSeq lists it as uncharacterized. NCBI's taxonomy places the organism in Eukaryota, Metazoa, Chordata, Mammalia, Rodentia, Sciuridae. The record is from RefSeq and is a predicted model, not a curated record.